RNAcentral lists this ribosomal RNA (560 nucleotides) under uncultured bacterium. RNAcentral describes it as "bacterial SSU rRNA". It matches the Rfam family "Bacterial small subunit ribosomal RNA", at positions 29 to 586 of the family's 1533-position model. The record is from RNAcentral.
AUGAACGCUGGCGGCUGCCUUAACAUGCAAGUCGAACGGCAGCGCGGGAGCAAUCCUGGCGGCGAGUGGCGAACGGGUGAGUAAUACAUCGGAACAUGUCCAGUAGUGGGGGAUAGCCCGGCGAAAGCCGGAUUAAUACCGCAUACGAUCUAUGGAUGAAAGCGGGGGAUCGCAAGACCUCGCGCUAUUGGGGUGGCCGAUGGCGGAUUAGCUAGUUGGUGGGGUAAAGGCCUACCAAGGCGACGAUCCGUAGCUGGUCUGAGAGGACGACCAGCCACACUGGGACUGAGACACGGCCCAGACUCCUACGGGAGGCAGCAGUGGGGAAUUUUGGACAAUGGGCGAAAGCCUGAUCCAGCAAUGCCGCGUGUGUGAAGAAGGCCUUCGGGUUGUAAAGCACCUUUGUCCGGAAAGAAAUCCUUCGAGAUAAUACCUUGAGGGGAUGACGGUACCGGAAGAAUAAGCACCGGCUAACUACGUGCCAGCAGCCGCGGUAAUACGUAGGGUGCAAGCGUUAAUCGGAAUUACUGGGCGUUAAGCGUGCGCAGGCGGUGAUGCAA